Cyanistes caeruleus (blue tit) is the source of this 1826-nucleotide long non-coding RNA. NCBI's taxonomy places the organism in Eukaryota, Metazoa, Chordata, Aves, Passeriformes, Paridae. The record is from Ensembl.
GGGAGGGCCAAGCUGGGAAUUCUGCUGUUCUAAAGUGGGGUUGAGCUUUUACAGGAUGGGGUGAUGGGGGUUUUAUCUGUUCUUCAGUUAGGAUUGCUGCCCUCUGGCUCCUCCCAGGAAAUGUUUCCUGGCAGUGCCAGUUGCUCUUGGGGUUUCAUAUCCUCUUGGGGUUUCAUUUCGGGGUGUUUGAGUCAGGCUGCUCUCAGUGUUCCCCACCACUGGCAGCCUGCUAAUUUUCUCAGGUGAAAUCUGAGCUAAUUUUCUCAGUUAGGUGAAAUCUGAACUGUUUCACCCUAAUUGCAUCCCUGCAGCAGGGAGGGAUUCACGGACACAUCCAAAGCAGGGCAGAAAGAGCCGAGGGUCACAGUGGGGAGGGGGAGCAGCAAGGGAAGCAGAAGAUCCCAGUCCUCAGCAGUGACCAUUCCUAUUUCAGCCCAGGGGCUCCAGACCCUUCCCUGGCUCCGGUGACGCCCCGUGGAAGGAGGAGGAGAGAUGGGGACCCCACUACUGCCCCCCGCCACCCCCCUGGGGUGACAGAGAAGAAUUCCAAGGGCCUGAGGACGGCUUUGGAGACAGCUGGCACCUGGAUGUGCUCCCUGAUUCCUGGCCUGGAUUUCCUGAGGAGGAGCAGCCCCCACCCUGGCCCCCCACCGGCCCUCCACGGAACCCAGGAGCUUUCCAGGAACACCGCCCGCCCUGGAGCCACCACCCGGCUGGGAGACGCCGCCUCCGCAGGAGCCACCACCGGCAGCUGACCGUGGUCCCCCGGGCAUGGUGUCCCCCAGCCCCCCGAGGGCACAAGCAACACUCCAAGCGCUCUCCUGCCAUCUCCAACUCGAGCCAGCCAGCGGCCAGGAAGGAGCCACAGCCCCCGGAUCCUGCCCAGCCCCUGGAUCCUGCCCAGCCCCAGGGUCCUGCCCAGCCCCAGGGUCCUGCCCAGCCCCAGGAUCCUGCCCAGCCCCCGGAUCCUGCCCAGACCCCUGCUCCCCUCCAAGGUGCUGCGGAGACGCCGGAACAGCCGCAGGAUGUGCCAGUGGGGACUGGGAAUGUCCUGGAGCCCCCCAGUCCUGCUGGGAGCCCUCUGGAGAGCCCGGCUGCCGAUGCCGGUGCUGCGGAGCCGCCGGUUGAGCUGGAAGCUGGGCAGACCCCUGUGGGCAGCCAGGACCAUGAUCCCUGUGCUUUGGGGACAGAUCCAACCCCUCCAGAGGAGACCUCCAGCUAUCCCCAGAUCCAGGAGCACCUUGAGGUAGAGCCGUGCAGUCCCGGUGUCCCCAAGGCUGGCACCGCUCAUGGGUCACAUCCCCAGAGCCCAGCAGCCCCUCCACACCCUGCCAGGAGGGAACUCCUGGAAUCCAGCUCCUCUGGAGAGGCAGGGGCUGAGCUCAGCCCACAUUCCUGGGAGCAGCCGCCGCGUGGAGCUGGAGAAGCCGAGGCAGAAGCUGCCCAGGAUGGGCCUCUGCAGAGCCUUCAGCUGCCCAAAAACCCUCAGGUCCCUCCAGCAUCUGCAGCAGAACCCGAGGCCCAGCCCAGCCAGGCUUCUCCUGGUGCCUGCACCACACCAGAGACCUCUGCAGGGCCCCAGCACCCGCCUGGGUCCGGUGAGACAAACCCGGCUGUGUCUGGCCAGCAGCAGCACUGCUCCACGCUCCCCACACCAUUCCCGGCCGGCGUCGACUUACGCUCUGCCACCGUCCUCGCCAAGAAGGCAGAGAUCGAGCAGGUGAGCCCUGGCAGCCCCUGGAUGAGCACCUGGAGGCCUGGGAGAGGCUGCAGGAUGGGGGAUCUCACCUGAGGAUCUUCAGGAGCGAUGCUGGGUGGUGGGGGGU